GACGUAGGAUGCAAGCGUUGUCCGGAUUUAUUGGGCGUAAAGAGUUCGUAGGUGGUUUGUUAAGUCUGAUGUUAAAGACUGGGGCUCAACCUCGGAAAUGCAUUGGAUACUGGCAGACUUGAGUGUGGUAGAGGCAAUCGGAAUUCCAGGUGUAGCGGUGAAAUGCGUAGAUAUCAGGAGGAACACCGAUGGCGAAGGCAGGUCACUGGGCCGCAACUGACGCUGAGGAGCGAAAGCAUGGGGAGCGAACAGG
Molecule: ribosomal RNA, 253 nt
Filed under: uncultured bacterium
Lineage: Bacteria
Description: partial 16S ribosomal RNA
Rfam family: Bacterial small subunit ribosomal RNA
Source: RNAcentral